RNAcentral lists this transfer RNA (62 nucleotides) under Mercenaria mercenaria. RNAcentral describes it as "tRNA-Trp". Lineage: Eukaryota; Metazoa; Mollusca; Bivalvia; Venerida; Veneridae. The record is from RNAcentral.
AAAACUUUAAGUUAUUGAGACUACAAUAUUUCAAGUAUUGAAGAGGUUAUUACCAUGUUUUG